UACGUAGGGGGCAAGCGUUGUCCGGAAUUAUUGGGCGUAAAGAGCGUGUAGGCGGCCAUGUAGGUCCGUUGUGAAAACUCGAGGCUCAACCUCGAGACGCCGAUGGAAACCAUGUGGCUAGAGUCCGGAAGAGGAGAGUGGAAUUCCUGGUGUAGCGGUGAAAUGCGCAGAUAUCAGGAAGAACACCCGUGGCUAAGGCGGCUCUCUAGUACGGUACUGACGCUGAGACGCGAAAGCGUGGGGAGCGAACAGG
RNAcentral lists this ribosomal RNA (253 nucleotides) under uncultured bacterium. RNAcentral's name for it is "partial 16S ribosomal RNA". It matches the Rfam family "Bacterial small subunit ribosomal RNA", at positions 524 to 776 of the family's 1533-position model. The record is from RNAcentral.